This is a long non-coding RNA of Chelonia mydas (Green sea turtle), 241 nucleotides long. RefSeq lists it as uncharacterized. The transcript has 3 exons. NCBI's taxonomy places the organism in Eukaryota, Metazoa, Chordata, Testudines, Cheloniidae. The record is from RefSeq and is a predicted model, not a curated record.
CAUCUGAGGAUCUGGCUCAGACCCUUUAAUUCAGAGUGCUACUUGUUUCCUGAUGACACUUAGCUUGGAGCUGGGCAAGGCAAAGCUGGUAGACUGGAAGAUUGCCUAAUGUGCUGUGACUGACAUGUAAUCGAAUAUUUAACCACUGGUCUACAUGUCUGCGGUGAAAUGGGCCUGAAUCAGUAUCUAAGAUUUGAACUUCUUAGCUUCAUAAUGAAUUUAAGAAAAAGCCUGGUUUUGA